This 293-nucleotide unclassified non-coding RNA is filed under the name uncultured fungus. Its description in RNAcentral is "partial contains 5.8S ribosomal RNA, internal transcribed spacer 2, and large subunit ribosomal RNA". The stretch from base 1 to 52 matches the Rfam family "5.8S ribosomal RNA", at positions 103 to 154 of the family's 154-position model. Lineage: Eukaryota; Fungi. The record is from RNAcentral.
AACGCACCUUGCGCUCCUUGGUAUUCCGAGGAGCAUGCCUGUUUGAGUGUCCUGAAAUCAUCAAGUCUCCGGAUUCGCGUCCGGAGGCUUGGACUUGGGGGUCUUUGCUGCGCUUUGGCGCGGCUCCCCUUAAAUGAAUCGGUUGUGGCCCGUCCGGCUUCAGUCCUCGGCGUUGUAUUCACCUCGCCCCGCGUCUCGUCGGCAGCGCCCUUCCCCGACCGCCUUUGGAGCGGCGGUCAAGACUACAAUUGAAAUCUGACCUCAAAUCAGGUAGGACUACCCGCUGAACUUAA